UACGUAGGGGGCAAGCGUUGUCCGGAUUCAUUGGGCGUAAAGAGCGUGUAGGCGGCCAGGUAGGUCGGUUGUGAAAACUGGAGGCUCAACCUUCAGAGGUCGACCGAAACCAUCUGGCUAGAGUCCGGGAGAGGAGAGUGGAAUUCCUGGUGUAGCGGUGAAAUGCGCAGAUAUCAGGAAGAACACCCGCGGCGAAAGCGGCUCUCUGGAACGGUACUGACGCUGAGACGCGAAAGCGUGGGGAGCGAACAGG
RNAcentral lists this ribosomal RNA (253 nucleotides) under uncultured bacterium. RNAcentral's name for it is "partial 16S ribosomal RNA". It matches the Rfam family "Bacterial small subunit ribosomal RNA", at positions 524 to 776 of the family's 1533-position model. The record is from RNAcentral.